RNAcentral lists this ribosomal RNA (1203 nucleotides) under Acidobacteriota bacterium. Its description in RNAcentral is "bacterial SSU rRNA". It matches the Rfam family "Bacterial small subunit ribosomal RNA", at positions 8 to 1183 of the family's 1533-position model. Lineage: Bacteria; Pseudomonadati; Acidobacteriota. The record is from RNAcentral.
GAGAGUUUGAUCCUGGCUCAGAAUCAACGCUGGCGGCGUGCCUCAGACAUGCAAGUCGAACGCGAAAGUUCCCUUCGGGGAGCGAGUAGAGUGGCGCACGGGUGAGUAACACGUAGGUAAUCUACCUUUGGAUGGGGAAUAACAACCGGAAACGGUUGCUAAUACCGCAUAAUGCAGCGGCACCUAAUGGUGACAGUUGUUAAAGCGGGGGAUCGAAAGACCUCGCGUCUGAAGAGGAGCCUGCGGCGGAUUAGCUAGUUGGUAAGGUAACGGCUUACCAAGGCGAUGAUCCGUAACCGGCCUGAGAGGGCGGUCGGUCACACUGACACUGACAUACGGGUCAGACUCCUACGGGAGGCAGCAGUCGGGAAUUUUGGGCAAUGGGCGAAAGCCUGACCCAGCAACGCCGCGUGAAGGAUGAAAUCCCUCGGGAUGUAAACUUCGCAAGAACAGGAAGAAUAAGUAGGGGACAAUACCCCCUAUGAUGACGGUACUGUUUGUAAGCUCCGGCUAACUCCGUGCCAGCAGCCGCGGUAAUACGGGGGGAGCAAGCGUUGUUCGGAUUUACUGGGCGUAAAGGGCGCGUAGGCGGCCACCGCAAGUCGAUUGUGAAAUCUCCGGGCUUAACCCGGAAAGGUCAACCGAUACUGCGGGGCUAGAGUGCGGAAGGGGCAACUGGAAUUCUUGGUGUAGCGGUGAAAUGCGUAGAUAUCAAGAGGAACACCUGCGGCGAAGGCGGGUUGCUGGGCUGACACUGACGCUGAGGCGCGAAAGCUAGGGGAGCGAACGGGAUUAGAUACCCCGGUAGUCCUAGCCUUAAACGAUGAAUGCUUGGUGUCUGGGGUUUUAUAGUCCCCGGGUGCCGUCGCUAACGCUUUAAGCAUUCCGCCUGGGGAGUACGGUCGCAAGACUGAAACUCAAAGGAAUUGACGGGGACCCGCACAAGCGGUGGAGCAUGUGGUUCAAUUCGACGCAACGCGAAGAACCUUACCUGGGCUAGAAUGCCUCUGACAACUCCAGAGAUGGAGCCUCUUAGGGAAACCUAGGCAGAGUGCAAGGUGCUGCAUGGCUGUCGUCAGCUCGUGUCGUGAGAUGUUGGGUUAAGUCCCGCAACGAGCGCAACCCUUAUCGAUAGUUGCUAGCGGUUCGGCCGAGCACUCUAUUGAGACUGCCGUUGACAAAACGGAGGAAGGUGGGGAUGAC